UCCGUCUCUCCUUUCCUCAACGGGCAAUCGCACUCUCCCCUCGGGAACGCUUGGAAAUCCCACCUCGGCCUCAGAACUACUCGCCACCAACAAAAUGACCACUUCCACGGCCGCGCAACCACCAGGCCUAGCUAUGGACAUCCUCCCCUUCAUAGACAUGACAAAGCUCUCCCAAUCAGAGCUCCGUGCCCUCUCUCUCUGUUCUUCCUCCUCCUUUGACCCCCGCCGCAGCGACGACUCUGUAACAUUCACCAUUGAUCGCUCAAGCUUCAAUGAGAGCGCUGGCUCACGCCGCCAGACCUACUCCCGACUUUCAUCCCACCAUCACCAUCGCCACCGCUUGGCCGGUCUUCUUCCCAAAACCCUCAAUCCGCCUAGUCCCACUCCCCCUCCCUCAAACGAUCCCUCCACUGACACCGACCACCUUGAAAACCACUCCAUAAUUAGUUUCCUCAAACAAUUGCUUUCCACCCACCCCGAAUUCCAGCAAUUGGAUUUAGUAGAUUUCGAUAGUUUUAGCCAUCUUAACGAUGCCAUAAAUUUCAAUUCUCAUCCAUCACCACUAGCAGCAGUAGUAGAAGCGCCUGUGGUAAAUGGGAACUUUAGAAUUGGGGAAAGGAAGAGGAAAAGAGGAAGGAAGCCGAAAGUGAAAGUAAUAAGUGCAGAGGGGAGAGAGAGGGCGAUGGGGGCGGAGAUUGUGAACAAAAAUGGAGUUGUGGUGGAUUUGGUGGGGUUGGCGAGUCUGGAGGACCCAUUCAGGGAGGAAUUAAGGAGGAGGACGGAAGGGAUGGAUAAAGAGGAGGAGUUGUUGGGAUUUUUCAGGGACCUUGGAGGGCAGUGGUGUAGCAGGAGAAGGAAGAGGAAGAUUGUAGAUGCUGGCGAGUUUGGUGACGUCUUACCUGUCGGUUGGAAGCUCCUACUCGGGCUCAAAAGGAAAGAAGGCCGUGCUUGGGUUUAUUGCCGCAGAUACAUAAGCCCCAGUGGACAACAAUUUAUAUCCUGUAAGGAAGUUGCUGCAUAUUUGCAAUCACUUUUUGGACCAUAUGAUGCUCAACAAGUGAAGGAUCAUGCAGGUGACAGUAUCCAGCAGGUCCACAGACUAGCUUCUGAAAGUUAUGGAGGUGCGACCAAGAAGGAUGAAGAUCAGAGGCAAGCUAGUGAACAUGAGAAGGCUGUUGCCUUGCUGAGAAUUGACAAUUUGGAGUUGGCAGAGGUUCAAAUACAGGACCUUUUUGAAUGCCACAAAUGUAAGAUGACAUUUGAUGAAAAGGACACAUAUUUGCAGCACCUUUUGUCAUUUCACCAAAGGACUACAAGGAGGUAUAGACUUGGUUCUUCUGUUGGUGAUGGUGUAAUAGUUAAAGAUGGAAAAUAUGAAUGCCAGUUUUGCCAUAAGGUGUUUCAUGAAAGGCGACGAUAUAAUGGUCAUGUAGGAAUCCAUGUGAGGAAUUAUGUGAGGGGGAUUGAAGAAUCACCUGGUAGCAGGAUGGCUUUGCUAAAGAGAAGUGACUCUUCAAAAAAAGAUGAAAUGCAUAUAAGAAUCUCCAAAAUGGGUGCUUCGAUUGAAAUAGCUCAGAAUUCCAUUCAAGAAACAUCGUCUUCUGGCCCUAAUGGUGAACCCAAUAGUGGGUUUUCUUCUAGUAAACAGGAUCUGGCUCCUAAUCAAGAACUUUUAGCUUCUGUUUCUGAUUGUGAACUGAAAUCUGAUUCUUCUCUUAGUGAAUCCGACAUAGAAUGUGGCAUGAUUGACGAAUCUCAGGAAUUGGAGUUAUGUCAGCAACAAAGUGAUCAUAUGAUUGAUAAAGGGAUAGGAAUGAUUGAUGAUGCUAACAAUGUCCUAGAUGUUGAGUUAGAUUCUUCAUUUGCUAUUGAGCAACAUGGUAAUACAUCUAAAGCGCUUGGUGGAACAUAUUGUUUGGCAGUAUUCACUGAUGAAGUGGACAAUUCUGUCAUUGAGCAGGAAAGAGGUUCUGAAUGUUGCUCCCCUGCACCAAUGAGUGAUCAGAAACUUUGUAGCAUUGAGAAUGAUGUCAAUUUGGUUGGCACAGACAAACAAGAGAACUGUGAGACUGACAAAGUGGAUAAAACGAGUAGUGUAGAGGUUGAAAUUGGCAUUGUAAGCAAUGAUAGGGAAGCAGAUAAUGAUAUUGUACCAGAAACUGUGCAGCAAUCUUUCAAGGAAGGUGGGUGGACUUUAGCAUGGAGUUCCACAGCCACCUGUAUCCAUAUUGCAACAAUCGUGGGGUUUUUCAGCACCCAGUGUGAGGUUAGAUCAGGUAUUCAUGGGUUCAUAGUUGUUUUUGGUUACUUUUUUAUUUACAGUAAAUUUGAACACUUAAAAGAAAAUUUCAAAAAUCUUUGAAUUUUUUUUCUCCUUUUUGUUGGUGAUGGGGAAAAAAUAAUUAGGAAAGAGAAUGUACACUAUGUGACUGAGAGUGUCCUAUUAUGUUUAAGAAAUAUGCUUAAUGCUACGACACGACCGUCUAAGUUUUCAUCUUACUUUGCUCUACAUUCAAGUCAAAUUAAUUUGUCUUUUGUGAUUAAUACAUGCUGAUGGUACAGGCUACGUUGGAAAAUAUUUAAAAUUCUGGGAAGAUGGAUGGUACAUGUGGGACUGAGAAGUGCUGUUUAAUGACCUCCCCCUUGUCUCCUCUUCCUGCUGUGGUUUAAUUUGCAUAUUCUAGGGAAUUUUCCCCUAUAUAACUUCAUUGCAGAUGGUAGACUGAGCCAUCACGUCAUUCUCUUCGCUGACAAUGAAAGAAUUGCUGGUUUAAAGACCAUAGUGAUUCCUAUAACAGAUGUGAAAGAAUUCUGGUUUAAAGACUAGAAAAGAAAUCUGUGUCUGACAUUCUCAUUCCACUUGUUUAGGAAUAUGAAUUUGCAUAUUGAUGAGGGAUACCUGCUGAAAUUUUGCAGCAAGAUUAUCGCUGUUAUCUUUAUGUGCGAACAUGCAAGUAUUUCUUACUGGUAAUUACCAUGUAAUUGGUAGGUUUGAUGGAUAUUUGAUUCUUGUGUCUGUAAAUAUUGACAAUGAGGACCAGUUGGAUGUACAUACUACACACUGAUGUAUAUCAUAAUAUGAUUUUUUGUGUUGCUCUU
RNAcentral lists this unclassified non-coding RNA (3099 nucleotides) under Hevea brasiliensis (rubber tree). Lineage: Eukaryota; Viridiplantae; Streptophyta; Magnoliopsida; Malpighiales; Euphorbiaceae. The record is from RNAcentral.